GAACGCUAGCGACAGGCUUAACACAUGCAAGUCGAGGGGUAACAGGGUAGCAAUACCGCUGACGACCGGCGCACGGGUGAGUAACGCGUAUGCAACCUGCCUAUAACUGGGGAAUAGCUCCCUGAAAGGGGAAUUAACACCGCAUAACACUAUUGAUUCGCAUGGAUUAGUAGUUAAAUGUAGCGAUACAGGUUAUAGAUGGGCAUGCGUGACAUUAGCUAGUUGGUGAGGUAACGGCUCACCAAGGCUACGAUGUCUAGGGGUUCUGAGAGGAAGGUCCCCCACACUGGUACUGAGACACGGACCAGACUCCUACGGGAGGCAGCAGUGAGGAAUAUUGGUCAAUGGGCGCAAGCCUGAACCAGCCAUGUCGCGUGCAGGAAGACUGCCCUAUUGGGUUGUAAACUGCUUUUAUAGUAGAAGAAACACAUCUACGUGUAGAUGUCUGCCAGUAUGCUAUGAAUAAGCAUCGGCUAACUCCGUGCCAGCCGCAGC
This 495-nucleotide ribosomal RNA is filed under the name uncultured bacterium. Its description in RNAcentral is "bacterial SSU rRNA". It matches the Rfam family "Bacterial small subunit ribosomal RNA", at positions 31 to 518 of the family's 1533-position model. The record is from RNAcentral.